UGCUGUUGAAAGAGCUCGUAGUUGGAUCAAGAGUGGGACAGUGCACGGUGGCCCCAUUUGGUAUCGUGGUUCCGAUCACGGUGCCGGUGGCGGAUCAACCCCGUGCGCCAAACUGUCCACUCUAACAGACCGAAACGGUUCCCUGUGAGUAGGUUCCUUCAUUGGGACUGAAAGCGCUUACGCAUCAACCAUAUGCAUACGGGACGUCGGUCAAAGUUACUGUGAACAAACCAGCGUGUCCAAAACAGGCUUUCGCCUGAAUGUUCGAGCAUGGAAUAACAAGGGAUCGAUUCUCUCGGUUCUUUUUGUUGGUUUUUAACCCGAGAAGGAGUAAUUCAGGCCACGGUGUCUGAGUUGGGUUUCCCUUCGCCUCGGUGGAGGCCCCAAUUAGGCCGUGUCCUUACGGGAUCAAUAGGGACUGACGGGGUCGUACGUACUUCCACGUCAGAGGUGAAAUUCUUAGAUCGUGGGAAGACGAACUUCUGCGAAAGCAUUCGACAAGAAUGUCUUCAUUAAUCAAGAACGAGAGUGUGGGGAUCGAAGAUGAUCAGAUACCGUCGUAGUCCACUACUGUAAACAAUGCCGUCUCAGGAUUGAGAAGUGAACAGAAUGACUUUCACAGCACUAACCCCUGAAACGAGAAAUCAAAGAUUAUGGGUCAGGGGG
Molecule: ribosomal RNA, 666 nt
Filed under: uncultured marine eukaryote
Lineage: Eukaryota
Description: bacterial SSU rRNA
Rfam family: Eukaryotic small subunit ribosomal RNA
Source: RNAcentral